AUUGAACGCUGGCGGCAGGCUUAACACAUGCAAGUCGAGCGAGCGGCGGACGGGUGAGUAAUGUCUGGGAAACUGCCUGAUGGCGGGGGAUAACUACUGGAAACGGUAGCUAAUACCGCAUACUAUCAGAUGUGCCCAGAUGGGCUGCGCUAGUAGGUGGGGUAAUGGCUCACCUAGGAGACGAUCCCUCGCUGGUCUGAGAGGAUGCCCAGCCACCCUGGAACUGAGACACGUGCCAGACUCCUAAGGUAGUCAGGAGUGUGGAAUAUUGCACAAUUGGCGAAAGCCUGAUGCAGCUAUGCCGCGUGUGUGAAGAAGGCCUUCGGGUUGUAAAGCACUUUCAGCGAGGAGGCGUUACUCGCAGAAGAAGCACCGGCUAACUCCGUGCCAGCAGCCGCGGUAAUUC
RNAcentral lists this ribosomal RNA (406 nucleotides) under uncultured bacterium. Its description in RNAcentral is "partial 16S ribosomal RNA". It matches the Rfam family "Bacterial small subunit ribosomal RNA", at positions 30 to 526 of the family's 1533-position model. The record is from RNAcentral.